Molecule: long non-coding RNA, 999 nt
Organism: Bufo bufo (common toad)
Lineage: Eukaryota; Metazoa; Chordata; Amphibia; Anura; Bufonidae
Exons: 3
Source: RefSeq, a predicted model, not a curated record
CACUGUAAGCAGGGGGUGUGUGCGUGUGUUUGCCUGUCUGUAUUCAUGUGACGUCAGGCCCUGGCCGACAGACAGCAGAGUGCUCAACUGAGCCGACCGCGUGCUGCAAUGAGCACAUGGGAGCCGAUCGCUUCGGGGAUUUAUCGUUUCUGCAACUUGAUUUUCCAACGGAUUACGUGAUCCCGUCACAAAGGGGUUAAAGGCUCUCCGACGGAUAAAGCACAGAAUGCUUUGAAGCCUGGGACACAUAUGGCAUGCAGGCCGAGAAACCAGACUUGAUUGGCUUGCAGAGAUGCUGAGUGUAAUAUUUGGAUACUUAUGAUCCUGUACAAGACGGGAGUUGCCGGCGCUCCCCGGGUGGCAUCGGUGGAUUCUUGCCGUGGAUGUACAAUAAUAAACAUCUGUGGACGUCAACGUCUUGGGAGGAAACUGGAUUCUUGGCUACAAGUUCUGAGGAUAUAUUUGGAGCAAGUAUCUAUUCAUUGCUUCUACAAACCAACCCCCCCCCCCCCCCCCCCCCCCUGCAUCAUGGAUAAAUAGGAUUGGAAUUUGGAAAGUCUUCUGCCGAGUAACCGCAUUCACUCAUCCGGAAAAUAUUUUUAUUUUUUUUCUCUGCCGUAUUCCUCAUUCGAUGGAUAUUUCCAAAUAAAUGCAAUGUUUCUUAUAUCACUGGACACGUGUGCCGAUCUGCAGCCCGCAGAUACAGCGCCGGUACAGCCACUGCACAGGUAUCGUCUAAGAGCGCAACGGACAACAAUGUAUCAAGUUCUUAAAGAGGCAGAUUCCUGAUAUAGAACUUAUAUCAUCAGUGUGUUGUGUGUCUGCAGAGAAAGAUUGGUGGGCCGCUGCAAUGUCCUUCCCCUUAUGUACCCUCCAAGACUGGGAAAUGGCAAAAACAUAAUGGGCAUGCUCACUACAAACAUGGACACGCUCGCUACAUUUACAGAUCCACGCUAACUAAAAAUACAGACACAUACAUAUAAUCACCCACUAUAUACA